Molecule: ribosomal RNA, 19 nt
Filed under: Colletotrichum truncatum
Lineage: Eukaryota; Fungi; Ascomycota; Sordariomycetes; Glomerellales; Glomerellaceae
Also listed under: 2 other names
Description: partial 18S ribosomal RNA
Source: RNAcentral
GCGGAGGGAUCAUUACUGA